GUCAACGGCCAUAGGAGAGAGGAAACACCUGUUCCCAUCCCGAACACAGAAGUUAAGCUUUCUCACGGUGUUGCUUGUACUGCCUUCUUGGGCGGAAACGCGCACUGCUGUUGACA
This 116-nucleotide ribosomal RNA is filed under the name Candidatus Woesearchaeota archaeon. RNAcentral also lists the same sequence under 1 other name. The record is from RNAcentral. Lineage: Archaea; Nanobdellati; Candidatus Woesearchaeota.